Molecule: ribosomal RNA, 564 nt
Filed under: uncultured bacterium
Lineage: Bacteria
Description: bacterial SSU rRNA
Rfam family: Bacterial small subunit ribosomal RNA
Source: RNAcentral
AGAGUUUGAUCAUGGCUCAGGAUGAACGCUAGCGGGAGGCUUAACACAUGCAAGUCGAGGGAUAGUUUCAGCAAUGGGACGAAAACCGGCGCACGGGUGAGUAACGCGUAUGCAACCUGCCCUUUACCGGGGGAUAGCCCGUCGAAAGGCGGAUUAAUACCCCAUAAUACUGUAAUCCUGCAUGGGAUAUCAGUUAAAGUUUAGGCGGUAAAGGAUGGGCAUGCGUGACAUUAGCUAGUUGGUAGGGUAACGGCCUACCAAGGCUACGAUGUCUAGGGGUUCUGAGAGGAAGGUCCCCCACACUGGUACUGAGACACGGACCAGACUCCUACGGGAGGCAGCAGUGAGGAAUAUUGGUCAAUGGGCGAGAGCCUGAACCAGCCAUCCCGCGUGCAGGAAGAAGGCCCUAUGGGUUGUAAACUGCUUUUGUGCAUGAAGAACACCCCCGACGCGCUCGGGGGCUGACGGUAAUGCGUGAAUAAGCACCGGCUAACUCCGUGCCAGCAGCCGCGGUAAUACGGAGGGUGCAAGCGUUAUCCGGAUUUAUUGGGUUUAAAGGGUGCG